AGUCCAUGAUAUGGGCAGAGCCUUAACACAUCUGUGUAUCUCUCUCAUGCUUCAAAAAUAAAAUCAUUGUCUUUUUGCCUAAAUCUGUUGAUUUGGCUUCUUAGCAU
Molecule: small nucleolar RNA, 107 nt
Organism: Lathyrus oleraceus (garden pea)
Lineage: Eukaryota; Viridiplantae; Streptophyta; Magnoliopsida; Fabales; Fabaceae
Source: RefSeq, a predicted model, not a curated record